This 492-nucleotide ribosomal RNA is filed under the name uncultured bacterium. Its description in RNAcentral is "partial 16S ribosomal RNA". It matches the Rfam family "Bacterial small subunit ribosomal RNA", at positions 29 to 507 of the family's 1533-position model. The record is from RNAcentral.
AGUGAACGCUGGCGGUAGGCCUAACACAUGCAAGUCGAACGGCAGCACAGUAAGAGUUUGCUCUUACGGGUGGCGAGUGGCGGAAGGGUGAGGUAUACAUCGGAAUCUACUUUUUCGUGGGGGAUAACGUAGGGAAACUUACGCUAAUACCGCAUACGACCUACGGGUGAAAGCAGGGGAUAUUCGGACCUUGCGCGAUUGAAUGAGCCGAUGUCGGAUUAGCUAGUUGGCGGGGUAACGGCCCACCAAGGCGACGAUCCGUGGCCGGUCUGAGAGGAGGAUCAGCCACACUGGAACGUAGCCACGGUCCAGACGCCUGCGGUAGGCAGCAGUGGGGAAUAUUGGGCAAUGGGCGCAAGCCUGAUCCAGCCAUACCGCGUGUGUGACGAAGGCCUUCGGGUUGUAAAGCCCUUUUGUUGGGAAAGAAAAGCAUCAGGUUAAUACCCCGCUGUUCUGACGGUACCCAAUGAAUAAGCACCGGCUAACUUCGUG